RNAcentral lists this ribosomal RNA (617 nucleotides) under Alexandrium ostenfeldii. RNAcentral's name for it is "LSU rRNA". It matches the Rfam family "Eukaryotic large subunit ribosomal RNA", at positions 40 to 664 of the family's 3401-position model. Lineage: Eukaryota; Dinophyceae; Gonyaulacales; Pyrocystaceae. The record is from RNAcentral.
AUAUAAGUAGGCGGUGGAAAAUGAACCAAAUGGGAUUCCUUAAGUAAUUGCGAAUGAACAAGGAACUGCUCAGCUUGAAAAUUGGGGCCUUCGGCCUUGAAUUGUAAUUUUGAAAUGUAUUGCCAAUGGAGGCGCAGGUGCAAGCCUAUUGAAAGAAAGCGUCAAUGAGGGUGAGAUUCCUUUUUGUCAUUUGCAGUCCUCCGUGCACGGUAUAUAUUUGACGAGUCACACUCCUCGGCAUUGGAAUGCAAAGUGGGUGGUAAAUUCCAUGUAAAGGAAAAUAUAUUAUUGAGACUGAUAGCAAACAAGUACCAUGAGGGAAAUAUGAAAAGGACUUUGAAAAGAGAAUUAAAAGAGUCUGCAUUUGCUGAACAGAAAGCAAACAGAAUUGAUCUACUUGGUGAGAUUGUUGCGUCCACUUGUGGGCGCAAUGGUUCUUACCUUGAAUGUCAGCGUCUAUUUCUGCAAAUCAUUACCCUUGCACAUGAAUGGUAAUUUGCCUGUGGGUAUUGGAAUGCAUGUGUUUGCANUGAUUUGUGAUUUGAUACGUGUGUCUGGUGUUCUUGUGUGUGCCUUCUUGCCAAAAGGGGAGGGCUCUCCUCCCUGGGCACUGCAAG